AGGUGAUCCAACCGCAGGUUCCCCUACGGUUACCUUGUUACGACUUCACCCCAGUCAUGAAUCACAAAGUGGUAAGCGCCCUCCCGAAGGUUAAGCUACCUACUUCUUUUGCAACCCACUCCCAUGGUGUGACGGGCGGUGUGUACAAGGCCCGGGAACGUAUUCACCGUGGCAUUCUGAUCCACGAUUACUAGCGAUUCCGACUUCAUGGAGUCGAGUUGCAGACUCCAAUCCGGACUACGACGCACUUUAUGAGGUCCGCUUGCUCUCGCGAGGUCGCUUCUCUUUGUAUGCGCCAUUGUAGCACGUGUGUAGCCCUGGUCGUAAGGGCCAUGAUGACUUGACGUCAUCCCCACCUUCCUCCAGUUUAUCACUGGCAGUCUCCUUUGAGUUCCCGGCCGGACCGCUGGCAACAAAGGAUAAGGGUUGCGCUCGUUGCGGGACUUAACCCAACAUUUCACAACACGAGCUGACGACAGCCAUGCAGCACCUGUCUCACGGUUCCCGAAGGCACAUUCUCAUCUCUGAAAACUUCCGUGGAUGUCAAGACCAGGUAAGGUUCUUCGCGUUGCAUCGAAUUAAACCACAUGCUCCACCGCUUGUGCGGGCCCCCGUCAAUUCAUUUGAGUUUUAACCUUGCGGCCGUACUCCCCAGGCGGUCGACUUAACGCGUUAGCUCCGGAAGCCACGCCUCAAGGGCACAACCUCCAAGUCGACAUCGUUUACGGCGUGGACUACCAGGGUAUCUAAUCCUGUUUGCUCCCCACGCUUUCGCACCUGAGCGUCAGUCUUCGUCCAGGGGGCCGCCUUCGCCACCGGUAUUCCUCCAGAUCUCUACGCAUUUCACCGCUACACCUGGAAUUCUACCCCCCUCUACGAGACUCAAGCUUGCCAGUAUCAGAUGCAGUUCCCAGGUUGAGCCCGGGGAUUUCACAUCUGACUUAACAAACCGCCUGCGUGCGCUUUACGCCCAGUAAUUCCGAUUAACGCUUGCACCCUCCGUAUUACCGCGGCUGCUGGCACGGAGUUAGCCGGUGCUUCUUCUGCGGGUAACGUCAAUGAGCAAAGGUAUUAACUUUACUCCCUUCCUCCCCGCUGAAAGUACUUUACAACCCGAAGGCCUUCUUCAUACACGCGGCAUGGCUGCAUCAGGCUUGCGCCCAUUGUGCAAUAUUCCCCACUGCUGCCUCCCGUAGGAGUCUGGACCGUGUCUCAGUUCCAGUGUGGCUGGUCAUCCUCUCAGACCAGCUAGGGAUCGUCGCCUUGGUGAGCCGUUACCCCACCAACAAGCUAAUCCCAUCUGGGCACAUCCGAUGGCAAGAGGCCCGAAGGUCCCCCUCUUUGGUCUUGCGACGUUAUGCGGUAUUAGCUACCGUUUCCAGUAGUUAUCCCCCUCCAUCAGGCAGUUUCCCAGACAUUACUCACCCGUCCGCCACUCGUCAGCGAAACAGCAAGCUGUUUCCUGUUACCGUUCGACUUGCAUGUGUUAGGCCUGCCGCCAGCGUUCAAUCUGAGCCAUGAUCAAACUCU
This 1530-nucleotide ribosomal RNA is filed under the name Escherichia coli. Its description in RNAcentral is "16S ribosomal RNA". The record is from RNAcentral. Lineage: Bacteria; Pseudomonadati; Pseudomonadota; Gammaproteobacteria; Enterobacterales; Enterobacteriaceae.